This 89-nucleotide transfer RNA is filed under the name Felis catus (domestic cat). It matches the Rfam family "tRNA". Rfam says of the family: Transfer RNA (tRNA) molecules are approximately 80 nucleotides in length. Their secondary structure includes four short double-helical elements and three loops (D, anti-codon, and T loops). The record is from Rfam by way of RNAcentral. Lineage: Eukaryota; Metazoa; Chordata; Mammalia; Carnivora; Felidae.
GCCUGGGUGGCUUAGUCGGUUAAGCAUCCGACUUCGGCUCAGGGCGUGAUCUCGGCUCAGGUCUGUGGGUUCGAGUCCCGCUUUGGGCU